GACGAACGCUGGCGGCGUGCUUAACACAUGCAAGUCGAACGGAAAGGCCCCUUUGGGGGUACUCGAGUGGCGAACGGGUGAGUAACACGUGAGUAACCUGCCCUUGACUUCGGGAUAACUUCAGGAAACUGGUGCUAAUACCGGAUAGGAAUCCUUGCUGCAUGGUGGGGGUUGGAAAGCUUCGGCGGUUUUGGAUGGACUCGCGGCUUAUCAGCUUGUUGGUGGGGUAGUGGCUUACCAAGGCUUUGACGGGUAGCCGGCCUGAGAGGGCGACCGGCCACAUUGGGACUGAGAUACGGCCCAGACUCCUACGGGAGGCAGCAGUGGGGAAUAUUGCACAAUGGGCGGAAGCCUGAUGCAGCAACGCCGCGUGCGGGAUGACGGCCUUCGGGUUGUAAACCGCUUUCAGCAGGGGCGAAGCUUGUGGUGACGGUACCUGCAGAAGAAGCACCGGCUAACUACGUG
RNAcentral lists this ribosomal RNA (465 nucleotides) under uncultured bacterium. Its description in RNAcentral is "partial 16S ribosomal RNA". It matches the Rfam family "Bacterial small subunit ribosomal RNA", at positions 28 to 507 of the family's 1533-position model. The record is from RNAcentral.